AACGAACGCUGGCGGCAUGCCUAACACAUGCAAGUCGAACGAGACCUUCGGGUCUAGUGGCGCACGGGUGCGUAACGCGUGGGAACCUGCCCUUAGGUUCGGAAUAACUCCCCGAAAGGGGUGCUAAUACCGGAUAAUGUCUUCGGACCAAAGAUUUAUCGCCUUUGGAUGGGCCCGCGUUGGAUUAGCUAGUUGGUAGGGUAAAAGCCUACCAAGGCGACGAUCCAUAGCUGGUCUGAGAGGAUGAUCAGCCACACUGGGACUGAGACACGGCCCAGACUCCUACGGGAGGCAGCAGAGGGGAAUAUUGGACGAUGGGCGAAAGCCUGAUCCAGCAAUGCCGCGUGAGUGAUGAAGGCCUUAGGGUUGUAAAGCUCUUUUACCCGGGAUGAUAAUGACAGUACCGGGAGAAUAAGCUCCGGCUAACUCCGUG
Molecule: ribosomal RNA, 433 nt
Filed under: uncultured bacterium
Lineage: Bacteria
Description: partial 16S ribosomal RNA
Rfam family: Bacterial small subunit ribosomal RNA
Source: RNAcentral